GACGAACGCUGGCGGCGUGCUUAACACAUGCAAGUCGAACGAAGAGCGAUGGAAGCUUGCUUCUAUCAAUCUUAGUGGCGAACGGGUGAGUAACGCGUAAUCAACCUGCCCUUCAGAGGGGGACAACAGUUGGAAACGACUGCUAAUACCGCAUACGAUCUAAUCUCGGCAUCGAGGAGAGAUGAAAGGUGGCCUCUACAUGUAAGCUAUCACUGAAGGAGGGGAUUGCGUCUGGUUCGCUAGUUGGAGGGGGAACGGCCCACCAAGGCGAUGAUCAGUAGCCGGUCUGAGAGGAUGGACAGCCACAUUGGGACUGAGACACGGCCCAGACUCCUACGGGAGGCAGCAGUGGGGAAUCUUCCGCAAUGGACGAAAGUCUGACGGAGCAACGCCGCGUGAGUGAUGACGGCCUUCGGGUUGUAAAGCUCUGUUAAUCGGGACGAAAGGCCUUCUUGCGAAUAGUGAGAAGGAUUGACGGUACCGGAAGAGAAAGCCACGGCUAACUACGUG
Molecule: ribosomal RNA, 510 nt
Filed under: uncultured bacterium
Lineage: Bacteria
Description: partial 16S ribosomal RNA
Rfam family: Bacterial small subunit ribosomal RNA
Source: RNAcentral